This 427-nucleotide ribosomal RNA is filed under the name uncultured bacterium. RNAcentral describes it as "bacterial SSU rRNA". It matches the Rfam family "Bacterial small subunit ribosomal RNA", at positions 355 to 774 of the family's 1533-position model. The record is from RNAcentral.
UGGGGAAUAUUGGACAAUGGGCGAAAGCCUGAUCCAGCCAUGCCGCGUGCGGGAAGAAGGCCUUCGGGUUGUAAACCGCUUUUGUCAGGGAAGAAACGAGUUUCUCUAAUACAGAGACUUAAUGACGGUACCUGAAGAAUAAGCACCGGCUAACUACGUGCCAGCAGCCGCGGUAAUACGUAGGGUGCAAGCGUUAAUCGGAAUUACUGGGCGUAAAGCGUGCGCAGGCGGUUAUGCAAGACAGAUGUGAAAUCCCCGGGCUUAACCUGGGAACUGCAUUUGUGACUGCAUAGCUAGAGUACGGUAGAGGGGGAUGGAAUUCCGCGUGUAGCAGUGAAAUGCGUAGAUAUGCGGAGGAACACCGAUGGCGAAGGCAAUCCCCUGGACCUGUACUGACGCUCAUGCACGAAAGCGUGGGGAGCAAACA